CCUACGGGGGGCAGCAGUGAGGAAUAUUGGUCAAUGGGCUUACGCCUGAACCAGCCAAGUCGCGUGAGGGAAGACUGCCCUAUGGGUUGUAAACCUCUUUUGUCAGGGAGCAACGCCGGCUACGUGUAGCCGGACUGAGAGUACCUGAAGAAAAAGCAUCGGCUAACUCCGUGCCAGCAGCCGCGGUAAUACGGAGGAUGCGAGGGUUAUCCGGAUUUAGUGGGUUAGAAGGGGGCGUAGGCGGAAUGCCAAGUCAGCGGUAAAAGCGCGGGGCUCAACCUCGCUACGCCGUUGAAACUGGCGUUCUUGAGUGGGCGAGAAGUAUGCGGAAUGCGUGGUGUAGCGGUGAAAUGCGUAGAUAUCACGCAGAACUCCGGUUGCGAAGGCAGCAUACCGGCGCCCAACUGACGCUGAAGCACGAAAGCGUGGGUAUCGAACAGGAUUAGAUACCCUGGUAGUC
Molecule: ribosomal RNA, 460 nt
Filed under: uncultured bacterium
Lineage: Bacteria
Description: partial 16S ribosomal RNA
Rfam family: Bacterial small subunit ribosomal RNA
Source: RNAcentral